GAUGAACGCUGGCGGCGUGCUUAACACAUGCAAGUCGAGCGAUGAAGUUUCCUUCGGGAAACGGAUUAGCGGCGGACGGGUGAGUAACACGUGGGUAACCUGCCUCAUAGAGUGGAAUAGCCUUCCGAAAGGAAGAUUAAUACCGCAUAACGUUGAAAGAUGGCAUCAUCAUUCAACCAAAGGAGCAAUCAGCUAUGAGAUGGAACCGAGGCGCAUUAGCUAGUUGGUGGGGGAACGGCCUACCAAGGCGACGAUGCGUAGCCGACCUGGGAGGGUGAUCGGCAACAUUGGGACGGAGACACGGCCCAGACUCCGACGGGAGGAAGCAGUUGGGAAUAUAGCAAAAUGGGGGAAAACCAGAUGCAGCAACGCCGCGUGAGUGAUGAAGGUUUUCGGAUCGUAAAGCUCUGUCUUUGGGGAAGAUAAUGACGGUACUCAAGGAGGAAGCAACGGCUAACUACGUGCAGCCGCCGCGGUAA
RNAcentral lists this ribosomal RNA (479 nucleotides) under uncultured bacterium. Its description in RNAcentral is "partial 16S ribosomal RNA". It matches the Rfam family "Bacterial small subunit ribosomal RNA", at positions 28 to 523 of the family's 1533-position model. The record is from RNAcentral.